GACGAACGCUGGCGGCGUGCCUAACACAUGCAAGUCGAGCGAUGAAGUUUCCUUCGGGAAAUGGAUUAGCGGCGGACGGGUGAGUAACACGUGGGUAACCUGCCUCAUAGAGGGGAAUAGCCUCCCGAAAGGGAGAUUAAUACCGCAUAACAUUGCAGUUUCGCAUGAAACAGCAAUUAAAGGAGCAAUCCGCUAUGAGAUGGACCCGCGGUGCAUUAGCUAGUUGGUGAGGUAACGGCUCACCAAGGCCACGAUGCAUAGCCGACCUGAGAGGGUGAUCGGCCACACUGGGACUGAGACACGGCCCAG
RNAcentral lists this ribosomal RNA (309 nucleotides) under uncultured bacterium. Its description in RNAcentral is "bacterial SSU rRNA". It matches the Rfam family "Bacterial small subunit ribosomal RNA", at positions 28 to 334 of the family's 1533-position model. The record is from RNAcentral.